RNAcentral lists this ribosomal RNA (250 nucleotides) under uncultured bacterium. Its description in RNAcentral is "partial 16S ribosomal RNA". It matches the Rfam family "Bacterial small subunit ribosomal RNA", at positions 524 to 774 of the family's 1533-position model. The record is from RNAcentral.
UACGUAGGGGCCAAACGUUGUCCGGAAUCAUUGGGCGUAAAGGGCGCGUAGGCGGUUUGGUAAGUCGGAUGUUAAAUCUACAGGCUCAACCUGUAGCCGCAUCCGAUACUGCCUGACUAGAGAAUGGUAGAGGAAAGCGGAACUUCCGGUGUAGCGGUGAAAUGCGUAGAUAUCGGAAGGAACACCAGUGGCGAAGGCGGCUUUCUGGGCCAUUUCUGACGCUGAGGCGCGAAAGCUAGGGGAGCAAACG